UCCAGUGCAGUCAGCUAAAGAAGGCCAUAUCCUUGACCUGAACAGACACCUCUCUGUUUCCAGGAUUUCUUUUGAACACUAACAUUUUCUUUUUCUGUAGUUAAGAAUUAUAAUUCUAUCCUACUGAACAAAUUGUGUUUCUGGGGCCCAGUGGAGCAAGGUCCCAUAGAAAUUCCUGAGUCCAUUUUGUAACUCCUUAAAAUCCUGCUUUUCAUCCUCCUUUACUAGACUCUCAGGUGAUUAUUACACCAGUCAGUAAUGGCCAGGGAAGCUUCUAGGAAUCAGUCACUGUCCUUGGCAUCUGCCAACAUGUUUUAUUAUCUAUUUCUUCAGUUCCUUCAUAGCGAAAGGGGGUGGGUGAUUCUAUGCAUCCCAGCCUUAGCAUAACUCCUGUGAAAACACAUGGCACCCAAAUUGAUUCCGACAAGAGACCCUAGGCUACAGAGCCAAAGAACUACUGGAAAAGUAGCAAUCCCCAAUCUUCCUCCCCAGGUUUGAUGGAAUUGGACACUGCCCCUGGCCAGCGAAAGGCUUACAUAAAUCAGUAAUUUAAAGGUCACAUGGUUUCUAUGAAGCCUGGAGGAUUGGAACAGGCUGUGUGACUGACCAUUUAAGCAGGUUUAUAAUAUCAGACUGCCAGAUCCUGACAAUGACCCAAAGUCUCCAAAGAAGAUUAUGAGGCACCCCGGUUCCUGUACCUGGAUGAUGAUGACGCUGACCAGUGAGCAAGAUGCUCAAAUGUGACACCUGCUGCCUGCCAGGACCUGGCCCAGACUGUGGACAAAACUGCUGGACACCGGAAAAUUGAUUGCACCCACUUUGCCUAGACAAAACAAGACACAUCUGAGUAUCAGUUGCUGACUACAGCCUACUCCUAAGGACUUGCUGUGGAUGUGAACCAGUCCAGCUGAUGUGGACAACCCCCUGACUCUUCAACAGAAUCUGCCAAUCAGCUGCUUUCCCAUUGCCUGAAUUCCCUUUUUUCUUUUGACUAGCAUUUCAACUCUCUUGGGUCCCUAACUGCAUCCCAUAGUCAGCAGGAAGUAGAAUGGGAAAGAAUACAUCGCCCAUUUUCCCUGGUUGAAAUGCUAAGUCAAAAUAAACUCCCUCAUGAAGGGACCAGCUCCCCAUUUUGGCAGCCAUAACAGCUUGUCUGACCUUGUCCUAGUCACUACAAAGUCAAAUCCCUGCCUCAUGGCAAGGAACCAAUCAGAAGUUAGCUGGUGGCGCUAUGCUUUACGGCUCUGGGUGUGCUUUACGGACAAGUGCACAGCAAUGAUGCGAAGAGCAUAUCAACCACCCUGGGAGGGCCUAUGGGCCAUAACAAUCAAUUGGCCAAUCAACAAAGGGCAAGCCCUCCAAGCCUGGAGGCACACCAAUCCUGAGCCUGUGCGUACCCCUAGACACUCCCCUUACGCUGCCCUACAAGACCUCUCUCUUCAGCCGGUUCAGGCUGUCUUUGCUAGCCAUCCGCCAUGGCGGGUGGGUGAAAGACCCGAGCUAACAUGGGGUUAGCUCGUUAAAGCCUCAUGCAGUUUGCAGCAAGUUUUCGAAUCCGCCUGGUGAUUGGGGUGACCUCGGUCCUGGGCUGGGACCCUGGAGGCCUGAGUUUUCCGGGGGUCUAACAUUCACAUAGGGGAUGCCAAUGUCACUCCCUCAGAAAAAUCGGAAGGACUAGAGAAUCGCCAAAGGGAGAAAGAGGUCAACCAGAGCUGGUUUGCAAGCUGGUAUAGCAGGUCCCCUUGGUUCACUACCCUGGUCUCCUGGUUGCUAGGGCCUAUCACUAUUAUCUUUGUUACUUCUCACUUUUGGUCCUUGUAUUCUCAAUUGCCUAAUGACUUUCUUUUUUCUUUUUUCUUUUUUUGGUUUUUCGAGACAGGGUUUCUCUAUGUAGCUUUGGAGCCUAUCCUGGCACUCACUCUGGAG
RNAcentral lists this long non-coding RNA (1926 nucleotides) under Cricetulus griseus (Chinese hamster). RNAcentral describes it as "lncRNA (ENSCGRG00015033790.1)". Lineage: Eukaryota; Metazoa; Chordata; Mammalia; Rodentia; Cricetidae. The record is from RNAcentral.